Long non-coding RNA from Actinia tenebrosa (Australian red waratah sea anemone), 1214 nucleotides. The record is from RefSeq and is a predicted model, not a curated record. NCBI's taxonomy places the organism in Eukaryota, Metazoa, Cnidaria, Anthozoa, Actiniaria, Actiniidae.
GGUGUAGCUAGAAAGAAAAACAGAAUGUAACUGUCAAUAUCUGUAACCCUUUUUAAUUGACACACAUGAGAUAGGAUCAAAUGGCAAAAUCAGAUGUUUGAAAACAGGAGUAAGCAUGCUGCAGUGAUGUGACCUUGGUUCGAUAUCUGUGUCGUAUGUGAGUAGAGUUUGCUCAUUGUAUUUCUCCUGUGCUUCAAGGGUUUUUCUCUGGAUGCUCCACCCUCUCUCCACAAAAUCAACUUCUAAAUUCCAAUUGGAAUUCAGUUGAUAAAGAGCCACUCUUUACAACUGCCACUGUUAAAUCCCAUUUAUUUUUUAUUACUUAUUGAAUGCUAGUCUUACACCAAGACUUUGAUUGUCUUUUUGAUCACCCUUGGAUGAACCCUAAUGAGAAUUCCAAUUGCUGGGAUAAGUUGCAAACAAUGAAUCAAGUUGARCAUCAGAUACAAGAUACACAUAUUCCAUCAUGUAUGGACCCCUUGCACUGAGUCCCAAGAGGAAUAAGUGUUCUUGGGAACAUAACAAAUGGAUUUUUUUUGCAUAAGCAAAGAUGGCCUAUUGUAUUGUCCCCCAGAACAAUUCCUCUAGGAAAUCAAGGGGUCUGUUGCUAUGUAUGCGAAGUACCUUAAUAUUAACAUGAUAUCAAGUAGCUAAACUUACUUACUUGUCUGCCAUUUAUCUGCUGGCUAGAACUUGACAGCAUCAUCACUAUGACAACAUAAUGCUUGGCUGAGAGGCUGACAAACUGUUGAAAAAAGUCAAAGAGAUCUGAGUAAUAUACAUACCUGAUGAUUAGUAAUAAACUGCUGCUUGGGAUAUGAACAACAUUUUCGUGGCAACAAGAGUCAAGAUGCAGUAUGGUAAUGAGGUUCAGAUGUCAGAUAUCGGCAGCCAUCUCGUUACAUAUCACUGGACAGUUUUAUGGAGUAUUUCACGUAUUGACACACGUCGAACUGCGAAGGAAGCAAGAUUCAAAUGGCACAAGUCACACCAAGAGACUGGAUACUAGCAUUUUACACAGGGAUCCCACAAAAAUCUUGAUUUUUUGGUGAAAAUGCGACGGUUUUCGAGCAAUGUUUUUUGCCCAAAACAUGAAAAAUGACCAGAAAAGGCUAUAUUCGUACCCUACGGAGAAUAAAAACCCGAAAAAACGCUUAUUUUAGGCAAAAAACACCAUUAUGUUAAUUAGUCACGUGACCAGUCACGUGACCCUU